This 251-nucleotide ribosomal RNA is filed under the name uncultured prokaryote. RNAcentral describes it as "partial 16S rRNA". It matches the Rfam family "Bacterial small subunit ribosomal RNA", at positions 525 to 775 of the family's 1533-position model. The record is from RNAcentral.
ACGUAGGGUGCAAGCGUUAAUCGGAAUUACUGGGCGUAAAGCGUGCGCAGGCGGUUGUGUAAGUCUGAUGUGAAAGCCCCGGGCUCAACCUGGGAACUGCAUUGGAGACUGCACGGCUAGAGUGCGUCAGAGGGGGGUAGAAUUCCGCGUGUAGCAGUGAAAUGCGUAGAGAUGCGGAGGAAUACCGAUGGCGAAGGCAGCCCCCUGGGAUGACACUGACGCUCAUGCACGAAAGCGUGGGGAGCAAACAG